GACGAACGCUGGCGGCGUGCUUAACACAUGCAAGUCGAACGGUGAAGCGCCUUCCUUUUUGGUGGGUGUGGAUGAGUGGCGAACGGGUGAGUAACACGUGAGUAACCUGCCCCCUUCUUCUGGAUAACCGCAUGAAAGUGUUGCUAAUACGGGAUAUUCUGGGUCUGUCGCAUGAUGGGUCUGGGAAAGAUAUUGUUUCGGUGGGGGAUGGGCUCGCGGCCUAUCAGCUUGUUGGUGGGGUGAUGGCCUACCAAGGCGGUGACGGGUAGCCGGCCUGGGAGGGUGGACGGGCUGACUGGGACUGAGGCACGGCCCAGACUGCUACGGGAGGCAGCAGUGGGGAAUAUUGCACAAUGGGCGCAAGCCUGAUGCAGCGACGCCGCGUGAGGGAUGGAGGCCUUCGGGUUGUGAACCUCUUUCGCCAGUGAAGCAGGCCUGCCUCGUUUGUGGGUGGGUUGACGGUAGCUGGAGAAGAAGCGCCGGCUAACUACGUG
Molecule: ribosomal RNA, 494 nt
Filed under: uncultured bacterium
Lineage: Bacteria
Description: partial 16S ribosomal RNA
Rfam family: Bacterial small subunit ribosomal RNA
Source: RNAcentral